CGGUUGAUCCUGCCGGAGGCCAUUGCUAUCGGAGUCCGAUUUAGCCAUGCUAGUCGUGCGAGUUCAGACUCGCGGCACCGAGCUCAGUAACACGUGGCCAAACUACCCUACAGAGACGGAUACCCUCGGGAAACUGAGGUUAACCCGUCAUACCGAUCUCAGGCUUGAAUCGCAGAGAUCACAAAACGCCCCGGCGCUGUAGGAUGUGGCUGCGGUUGAUUAGGUAGACGGUGGGGUAACGGCCCACCGUGCCCAUAAUCAGUACAGGUUGUGAGAGCAAGAACCUGGAGACGGAAUCUGAGACAAGAUUCCGGGCCCUACGGGGCGCAGCAGGCGCGAAACCUUUACACUGCACGCACGUGCGAUAAGGGGACUCCGAGUGCGAGGGCAUAUCGUCCUCGCUUUCGUGUACCGUAGGGUGGUACACCAACAAGGGCUGGGCAAGACCGGUGCCAGCCGCCGCGGUAAUACCGGCAGCCCGAGUGAUGGCCGAUCUUAUUGGGCCUAAAGCGUCCGUAGCUGGCUGCGCAAGUCCGUCGGGAAAUCCACUCGCCCAACGAGUGGGCGUCCGACGGAAACUGCACAGCUUGGGACCGGAAGGCUCGAAGGGUACGUUCGGGGUAGGAGUGAAAUCCCAUAAUCCCGCACGGACUACCGAUGGCGAAAGCACUUCGAGAAAACGGAUCCGACAGCGAGGGACGAAAGCCAGGGUCUCCAACCGGAUUAGAUACCCGGGUAGUC
Molecule: ribosomal RNA, 741 nt
Filed under: uncultured Haloquadratum sp.
Lineage: Archaea; Methanobacteriati; Methanobacteriota; Halobacteria; Halobacteriales; Haloferacaceae
Description: bacterial SSU rRNA
Rfam family: Archaeal small subunit ribosomal RNA
Source: RNAcentral